UUGGAGGGCAAGUCUGGUGCCAGCAGCCGCGGUAAUUCCAGCUCCAAUAGCGUAUAUUAAAGUUGUUGCAGUUAAAAAGCUCGUAGUUGAAUUUUAGACUUGAUCUCAUGGUCCAUCCAAUGGAUGAGUACUGUUUUGAUUGGGACUUCAUUUCUGAUAAACUUUUAUUCCCUUUAUUGGGUGUAAUAGGGAAGCAGGACCAUUACCUUGAAAAAAUUAGAGUGUUUAAGGCAGGCUAACGCCUGAAUACAUUAGCAUGGAAUAAUGAAAUAGGACGUUCGAUCCUAUUUUGUUGGUUUCUAGGAUUGACGUAAUGAUUAAUAGGGAUAGUUGGGGGCAUUAGUAUUCAAUUGUCAGAGGUGAAAUUCUUGGAUUUAUUGAAGACUAACUACUGCGAAAGCAUUUGCCAAGGAUGUUUUCAUUAAUCAAGAACGAAAGUUAGGGGAUCGAAGACGAUCAGAUACCGUCGUAGUCUUAACCAUAAACUAUGCCGACUAGGGAUCGGAUGAUGUUAAUUUUUUAAUGACUCAUUCGGCGCCUUACGGGAAAC
Molecule: ribosomal RNA, 550 nt
Filed under: uncultured Ambispora
Lineage: Eukaryota; Fungi; Glomeromycota; Glomeromycetes; Archaeosporales; Ambisporaceae
Description: bacterial SSU rRNA
Rfam family: Eukaryotic small subunit ribosomal RNA
Source: RNAcentral